ACGGAAGGCAGCAGUGGGGAAUAUUGGGCAAUGGGCGCAAGCCUGACCCAGCAAUGCCGCGUGAAGGAAGAAGGCUUUCGGGUUGUAAACUUCUUUUAAGUGGGACGAUAAUGACGGUACCACUUGGAUAAGCUCCGGCUAACUACGUGCCAGCAGCCGCGGUAAUACGUAGGGAGCAAGCGUUAUCCGGAUUUACUGGGUGUAAAGGGCGUGUAGGCGGGACUGCAAGUCAGAUGUGAAAGCACGAGGCUCAACUUCGUGUCUGCAUUUGAAACUGUAGUUCUUGAGUGUUGGAGAGGCUAACGGAACUCCUAGUGUAGCGGUGAAAUGCGUAGAUAUUAGGAAGAACACCAGUGGCGAAGGCGGUUAGCUGGACAAUAACUGACGCUGAGGCGCGAAAGCGUGGGUAGCAAACAGGAUUAGAUACCCUGGUA
This 434-nucleotide ribosomal RNA is filed under the name uncultured Oscillospiraceae bacterium. Its description in RNAcentral is "bacterial SSU rRNA". It matches the Rfam family "Bacterial small subunit ribosomal RNA", at positions 341 to 792 of the family's 1533-position model. The record is from RNAcentral. Lineage: Bacteria; Bacillati; Bacillota; Clostridia; Eubacteriales; Oscillospiraceae.